This 693-nucleotide long non-coding RNA is filed under the name Androctonus crassicauda. The record is from RNAcentral. Lineage: Eukaryota; Metazoa; Arthropoda; Arachnida; Scorpiones; Buthidae.
AAGUGGAAUAAAUUAAAAUAAAUAAAAUAAGCAAAGGUACAUCGGGGAGGUGUUUAGUAUAGAGAUUAUAUAAUCCAUCGAUGCAGUAUGUUGGUGGGAUGGUUGUCAUUUAUGAUGUAGGUCUUCUUGUUAUAUUGCUCAAUAAUGAUGGCUUCAGCCAUUUUAAUAUCUUCUGCUUUGCUUAUCGCUCUGAUGAUGUGUACUUGACUCCACUCAAUGCUGAUGUCAUGCUAGAAGUACUAGAUGAGCAUUGUAUUGAAGGAUCACUUUUUUAUGCUGCUUUGAUGUUCCUUUAAAUGGGUCUAAAUAUCUUAUAAUACUACCAACAUAUAUUUCUCGUCUAUUAAGAUCAUCGUUAUAGAUGGGAAUGAUAUGCCAGCAUGCUGGAGGGCAGUAUUGGUGGCUUAACUUUCUUUAAUGUGUGGAAUGUGUGAUAGUCGCAUUCGACUAUACAGUAAAACUUUAUCUUUUAAUAAUGCCUUGUCUAGGGGGAUAUAAUGGCUUCAUGAUAUUGAAUUGGUUGUAAGUGUAUCUUAAUUUGUUUUUGUGAGAUCAUGGGUGAUAAAGGUGGUUUGUGUGUAUCUCUCAAUGGAUUUGUCAAUAUUUUUUAUGAAUGCUGUGUCAUACCCAUGCAGUAUUGCCUGGUCUACUAUAGUGAUAUUUUCAGCUUGCUUAGUUAAGUCGUCAGAGCAG